GCGGCAACAGCUCAAAUUUGAAAUCUGGCCCUUUCAGGGUCCGAGUUGUAAUUUGUAGAGGAUGUUUCGGGUGUGGCUCCGGUCUAAGUUCCUUGGAACAGGACGUCAUAGAGGGUGAGAAUCCCGUAUGUGACUGGAAGCCUUCGUCCAUGUGAAACUCCUUCGACGAGUCGAGUUGUUUGGGAAUGCAGCUCAAAAUGGGUGGUAAAUUUCAUCUAAAGCUAAAUACUGGCCAGAGACCGAUAGCGCACAAGUAGAGUGAUCGAAAGAUGAAAAGCACUUUGGAAAGAGAGUUAAAAAGUACGUGAAAUUGUUGAAAGGGAAGCGCUUGCAACCAGACUUGCUCGCGGUUGCUCAGCCGGUGUUCUCACCGGUGCACUCUUCCGCGAUCAGGCCAGCAUCGGUUUGGGCGGCUGGAUAAAGGCUCUGGGAAUGUGGCUCCUCUCGGGGAGUGUUAUAGCCCGGGGUGCAAUGCAGCCCGCCCGGAUCGAGGACCGCGCUUCGGCUAGGAUGCUGGCGUAAUGGUUGUAAGCGACCCGUCUUGAAACACGGACCAAGGAGUCUAACAUCUAUGCGAGUGUUUGGGUGUCAAACCCAUGCGCGUAAUGAAAGUGAACGGAGGUGGGAACCCUUAAGGGUGCACCAUCGACCGAUCCUGAUGUCUUCGGAUGGAUUUGAGUAAGAGCAUAGCUGUUGGGACCCGAAAGAUGGUGAACUAUGCCUGAAUAGGGUGAAGCCAGAGGAAACUCUGGUGGAGGCUCGCAGCGGUUCUGACGUGCAAAUCGAUCGUCAAAUUUGGGUAUAGGGGCGAAAGACU
Molecule: ribosomal RNA, 817 nt
Filed under: Sarea resinae
Lineage: Eukaryota; Fungi; Ascomycota; Sareomycetes; Sareales; Zythiaceae
Description: partial large subunit ribosomal RNA
Rfam family: Eukaryotic large subunit ribosomal RNA
Source: RNAcentral